GUGUUGAAAUUGUCUUGUAGGUGGGUAAAUUUCAAAUUCCAAUUCCGUUGUUUGGGGGGCAAAUUCGUAUUUUAAUUGUGUUGUUGGUGGGUCUUUUCUUCGUAAGAGCCCAAAAAUGAGGUAUAAAUUUGUUUUAAAAUGACAUUUUAUGCGUACUUUGCGCGAUCGAAAACGGCAUUUUGGUACGAAAUAAACGAGUCCGAAUGCUAUUCUCACGACGCGGCUAUUCUUACGGUAACACCAUGGAGGCUAUGAGUGUUUCAGACGUGCGCCAGUUUUUGAUGGAGCGUAACCUAAGCUCGCUAACCACGACCUUUGAAGCUCUGACACUUACAUGUAGAAGAAAAUUAGUCUGACAGAAAAUCUGAUUGAUGGCGAAGCAUUGCUUUCUGUGAUGGAAGAUCACAUUUUGUUGAAGGAAUUAAUACCUGAAGUGGGGUUGAGAGCAAAACUGAGGCGUAAAUAAAAAAGAAGACUUGAGAGUUUUACUGAAUGACAUGAACAAAUACUAAUUUCAAUUGUGUUGUAGGGUGGUGUUGAGUUAAUCUAAAUGUGGUGCUGGUGGGUCUAUUACCUAUUUUAAUUCUGUUGGUGGGGGGUGUAAAAGCAGUUAAAAUUGUGUUGGUGGUGCCCCAUUUUUGGACUGUCGUUCUUGCCCCCCCAGGCCUUUUUUCCUGGAACAGC
Molecule: long non-coding RNA, 684 nt
Organism: Mya arenaria
Lineage: Eukaryota; Metazoa; Mollusca; Bivalvia; Myida; Myidae
Exons: 3
Source: RefSeq, a predicted model, not a curated record